RNAcentral lists this ribosomal RNA (433 nucleotides) under uncultured bacterium. RNAcentral describes it as "partial 16S ribosomal RNA". It matches the Rfam family "Bacterial small subunit ribosomal RNA", at positions 29 to 507 of the family's 1533-position model. The record is from RNAcentral.
AACGAACGCUGGCGGCAGGCCUAACACAUGCAAGUCGAGCGAGGACUUCGGUUCUAGCGGCGGACGGGUGAGUAACGCGUGGGAAUGUGCCCUUCUCUACGGAAUAGCCCUGGGAAACUGGGAGUAAUACCGUAUACGCCCUAUUGUGGAAAGAUUUAUCGGAGAAGGAUCAGCCCGCGUUGGAUUAGGUAGUUGGUGGGGUAAUGGCCUACCAAGCCGACGAUCCAUAGCUGGUUUGAGAGGAUGAUCAGCCACACUGGGACUGAGACACGGCCCAGACUCCUACGGGAGGCAGCAGUGGGGAAUCUUAGACAAUGGGGGCAACCCUGAUCUAGCCAUGCCGCGUGAGUGAUGAAGGCCUUAGGGUUGUAAAGCUCUUUCAGCUGGGAAGAUAAUGACGGUACCAGCAGAAGAAGCCCCGGCUAACUCCGUG